UCAGUGCUAGGAUCAGAACACUUCCCCGCCUCCCUGCACACACAUUCCCUGCCACCCGCUGGAUUUAGUAAGUGACAAAUAAACCUCACUUUUGUUAAGCCAUCCAGAUCUGAGAGCGUAUGGAUUACAAUAUCUUAAUGAAUAGAACAUUCGUUAAAAAAAGGAGUUGUCUUGCUCUCCUGCAGAACUGUGAAGUCCCUGAGGCCAGGGCUGUGCCAAUUGCAUUCUCUUCUACGCUCUUGCUCUCGGCAUAACGACAGCACCUCAGACAAAGUGGGCAUCAAUUUAUUCCACAAAUAAAUGAGGAACUGCAGACAGAAUUCCCCGCCUUCCUCGAGCGUCUGAAUGAAGGAAAGAAGGAUGCAUUGCUCUCAGUUUGAUAACAGAAAUUCCAAUCACUAGCAGCCAGUGACUCACAAUGUAUGUUGAGUAAAUAGAUUUUUUUCUACCACUGAUUAUCACGGAGGUAAAAGAGAAUAGGUUCUGAGAAGGACUCGGAUUUACCCAGGAUAGUUGGAAGAACCCAGAACGGAGGUCACAGUCUCUGGGUGGCCAGUAGAAUGAACGACUGUUAUGAACUUGCCCAAGUGCAGUGCUGGGGCGGAAGCUGAGGGUUUCCCCUGAGAUUGCAGCCCAUGACCCUGGCAUGGGCCGAGUCCCCCCGUGGACAGGUCCGACGGUGGAUUCCUUAGCAGCACCCAAGAUACUCUGUCAAGUUCACUAGAUUGUCUCUCAGGCGUGAACUGCUGGAAUCGGUUCAGUAGCAACUGCUGAGCCAAGACAAUUAUUCUGAGAAAAUGGAGCUUCCAACAUGAGCAGCGCCUUGAAACGCUGGCCCUGAGGGAGUUCCACGGACUCUGGCCUCACUGGAGGGAGAGCCAGGCUGGAGGGGACCGGAAGUGGGAAUGGCAGUCGCCUCACCGCCUGCAGGUGAGUGAAAGGACCCGCUCAGAAAAACAGGCCUUGAGGGGAUUCUGUCUGGCAACCUUCAGGAGCCAGCUGUGAGGGGACACCUCUUCUGAAGCGGGCUUCCUUGAAGGCCGGUUCAGAGACCCUCUGCUCCCUGCUGUGCAGAGGGUAGGAUUUGCUACCAGAACACGGAUCAGGACUUUCUACUUCGCUGGAGUGUCUCCUGGCUCUGCCUGUAAGGCAAUAGGUCCUCCCAGUUUGUCAGCCUUUGCCUGUGGUGCUUCUCUAGGGGUGAUCUUGCCCUUUAAGAGACAGUUGGCAACGUCUGAAGACAUUUUUGUCUAUCACAACUCAGAGGGCGCCGGGCAUCCCGUGGAUGGAGGCCAGGGUUGCCGCCGAACCUUCUACAGUGUAUAGGAAACUCCCCACAACAAAGAAUUGUCUGGCUCAAAAAGCCACCGUUGUAGAGGUUGAGACGCCAUGGGCCAUAUCUUAAUGCCAGCCAGCCCUCUCCAGGAAAAGCAGCACUGAAUUUGUAAAAUGCAUACAUUUUAGCUAGUAUUUUAUCGUCUUGACUAGAAUACAUAUUUUUCAGCCAUGGGAAAGAUUUUUUUUCGUUUUAAUAAGGUGGAAUAGGAUGGUGUUGAAAGACCCAUUGUAUAACUAUACCUUCGAGAAAUUCCUUGGCAUUCUCAAUAUUCUUAGAUUUUUCUGACAAGUAAAGGGUUGGUAAUGCGAAAGUAGCUUUGGAAAUUGGAAUUGCUUGUAAACUUUAUAAAGGACUCAUGAAUUCUCUUU
Long non-coding RNA from Lutra lutra (Eurasian river otter), 1707 nucleotides. RefSeq lists it as uncharacterized. The transcript is spliced from 2 exons. NCBI's taxonomy places the organism in Eukaryota, Metazoa, Chordata, Mammalia, Carnivora, Mustelidae. The record is from RefSeq and is a predicted model, not a curated record.